CUAACUCUCAAAGUGUUCUAUCUUCUGCUAUCUAUUCACUGCACAAAUCUCAAGCACUCCAUCCUUUAUCAUAUAUCCACUUGUAUGUAUCUCAAAGCACUCCAUCCUCCAUCAUUCAUCUACGAUAUAAAUUUGAGAGUCUUUUAUUGUUUAUCAUCUAUCUACUUGCAUAGAUUUCAAAAUAUUCUAUCCCUUAUUAUUUAUCCACUUG
Molecule: long non-coding RNA, 211 nt
Filed under: Elaeis guineensis (African oil palm)
Lineage: Eukaryota; Viridiplantae; Streptophyta; Magnoliopsida; Arecales; Arecaceae
Description: long non-coding RNA (EGUI_LNC001409)
Source: RNAcentral